GAUGAACGCUGGCGGCGUGCCUAACACAUGCAAGUCGAACGGAGUAGCAAUACUUUAGUGGCGCACGGGUGAGGAACACGUAGCUCAUCUGCCCCCGAGCGCGGGAUAACGGGCCGAAAGGCCUGCUAAUACCGCAUAAGCUCCCGGUCUGUAGAGGACUGAGAGAAAAGGAGCAAUCCACUUGGGGAGGAGGCUGCGGCCUAUCAGGUAGUUGGUGAGGUACGGCUCACCAAGCCGACGACGGGUAGGGGGCCUGGAGAGGGUGACCCCCCCGACACCUGGGACUGAGACACGGCCCAGACUCCUACGGGAGGCAGGCAGUGAGGGAUAUUGCACAAUGGGCGCAAGCCUGAUGCAGCGACGCCGCGUGAGUGAAGAA
This 379-nucleotide ribosomal RNA is filed under the name uncultured bacterium. RNAcentral describes it as "bacterial SSU rRNA". It matches the Rfam family "Bacterial small subunit ribosomal RNA", at positions 28 to 412 of the family's 1533-position model. The record is from RNAcentral.